AAUAAAGUUUUAUUUUGGCUUGAAAAUUUGUUAUUAAUUUGAUUUAUAUGUAAAUUUUUGUGUGAUUUUAUAUUUAUUUUAAUAAUAAUUAUAAAAAUUUAUUCGCAGUAAUUAAUUUUAAUAGUUAAAGAAAUUUAGAAAUAGCAAUAUUAAAGAGUAUUGACUAAAUUGGUGCCAGCAGUCGCGGUUAUACCAAUAAUACUAAUAAAUUUUUUUAGUAAUAGUUAAAUUAAUUUUAUAAAAUAAAAUUAAAUAUAUUAAGUGAAAUUUUAUAUUUAAAAUAUUUUUAAAAAUAGUGAUUGAAGCUAAAAAAUUUUAAUUAAAAACUAGGAUUAGAUACCCUAUUAUUUAAAAUGUAAAUUUAUAUAUUAAAGUAGUAAUAGUUAUGUUCUUGAAACUUAAAAAAUUUGGCGGUAUUUUAGUCUAUCCAGAGGAACCUGUUUUGUAAUCGAUAAUCCACGAUGGACCUUACUUAAAUUUGUAAUCAGUUUAUAUACCGUCGUUAUCAGAAUAUUUUAUAAGAAUAAUAAUAUUCAAUAAUUUUAAUAAAAAUUUAUAUCAGAUCAAGGUGUAGCUUAUAUUUAAGUAAUAAUGGGUUACAAUAAAUAUAUUUAAACGGAUAAAAUUAUGAAAAAGUUUUUGAAGGUGGAUUUGGUAGUAAAAUUAUAUAGAUAAAUAAUUUGAUUUUAGCUCUAAAAUAUGUACACAUCGCCCGUCGCUCUUAUUAUUAAGGUAAGAUAAGUCGUAACAUAGUAGAUGUACUGGAAAGUGUAUCUAGAAUGAC
This 784-nucleotide non-coding RNA is filed under the name Drosophila burlai. The record is from RNAcentral. Lineage: Eukaryota; Metazoa; Arthropoda; Insecta; Diptera; Drosophilidae.